AGAAUAUGUAACGACUGCGGUGCCUUACCCCCGGAUGGGAAGGCAUAAUAACGAAGCCGGUUAAAGUCCGGCGCUGUCGCGCAACUGUAUUCCACACUUCGUGUGGAGAGCCAGGUCGAACACCGUAGUUGUUGUUUCCAC
This 141-nucleotide non-coding RNA is filed under the name Chloroflexota bacterium. Lineage: Bacteria; Bacillati; Chloroflexota. The record is from RNAcentral.